Molecule: transfer RNA, 67 nt
Filed under: Chrysoperla nipponensis
Lineage: Eukaryota; Metazoa; Arthropoda; Insecta; Neuroptera; Chrysopidae
Description: tRNA-Glu
Source: RNAcentral
GUUUAUAUAGUUUAAUUAAAACAUUACAUUUUCAAUGUAAAAAUAAAAUUUUAUAUUUUUUUAAAUA